RNAcentral lists this ribosomal RNA (301 nucleotides) under uncultured bacterium. RNAcentral describes it as "partial 16S ribosomal RNA". It matches the Rfam family "Bacterial small subunit ribosomal RNA", at positions 509 to 807 of the family's 1533-position model. The record is from RNAcentral.
CAGUAGCCGCGGGAAUACGUAGGGUGCAAGCGUUAAUCGGAAUUACUGGGCGUAAAGGGUGCGUAGGCGGUUGUUUAAGUCUGUUGUGAAAUCCCCGGGCUCAACCUGGGAACUGCAUUUGUGACUGGCAAGCUAGAGUCUGGCAGAGGGGGGUGGAAUUCCGCGUGUAGCAGUGAAAUGCGUAGAUAUGCGGAGGAACACCGAUGGCGAAGGCAGCCCCCUGGGCCAACACUGACGCUCAUGCACGAAAGCGUGGGGAGCAAACAGGAUUAGAUACCCGCGUAGUCCCUGUCUCUUAUAC